GCAACGACGCGCAAGCAUUAUUCAAAAAUGGCAUCUAUAAAGCGCCCAUAUCAAACAGCAAGCACAUCGCUGUCCCAGCAGCAGCGCCUGCGCCUGUGCUCUCUCCUCUUCUUCCUCAACCCUCGCCGCAACAGGAGAGCUCUCGAUCAGCGCCGCCCGGCCCACCUCGCCCGCGGCCUAACAUUAGGCUCGGGGACUACGGUGCAGCCAAGGAUGACUUGCCGAUCUAUCGUCGAUCAACGAGCGACGCCUCUGAUGUCUGAUCUCGACAUCUAUCGUCGUCAGACCAUCAUCAUCUAUCGGCAAGUUGUUCUUGGCUACACCGUGGCUCCUGCUCCUGAUGUAAGGCUUUGUCGUCUGCGGCGACACGUACUUUUUUUUCCCCUAUCGUCGUCUGAUGAUGAUGAUCGAGCUGAGGGUAAUUUAAGGAAGGUCAAUCACAUCAAAUCAAGGUAACAUAUAAUAUAGGACUAGUAGUAGGAGUUUACGUACGAUUAUUCAUUCUACAGCAUCUGUUCUUCUUCUAAGCAAUCACGUAACGUACACCUGCUAGCUAGUAUAGUGUCCUGAUUUAUUUAGCAACUAGUACGUAUGUACUAUAUAUAACAAGACGAGAGAAGUGACAGGAAAUCUAUAGCAGUGAUAGGAUAAAGCUCUUGCAGAUUAUGCGUGUGUGUGGCACUGCUGCUGCCAGCCAGUGCCAAGGCCGCCAUGCAUGCACAAAUCCGUCGUCUCCAACUUCUUGCAGCUGAGCCAGCGGCUCAACAUAGGAGAUUGAAGGCGACGAAUGAGAAGAGAGCACAUGAUGCAAGGGAAUGGGAGACGGCUAGAGUCGAGAAACAGAUGUUGGAGAAUCUUGUUGAUCGUCUCAAGGGAAAGAUUGGAUGUGCCGUGAACUAUCUCGCAGAUGAGGCACGUGCAAGAUACGUUCAGGAAAAAUGGCAACGGUGGAGCUGAUGGAGGAGGAGGACACAUCAAGGUUGAGUGAGCUUAUCGCUCUUGCUAAGGCAGGAUUACAUGGGGAAGAGGAGG
Molecule: unclassified non-coding RNA, 1032 nt
Filed under: Zea mays
Lineage: Eukaryota; Viridiplantae; Streptophyta; Magnoliopsida; Poales; Poaceae
Source: RNAcentral